This 3313-nucleotide long non-coding RNA is filed under the name Anolis carolinensis (green anole). RNAcentral's name for it is "lncRNA (ENSACAG00000034789.1)". Lineage: Eukaryota; Metazoa; Chordata; Lepidosauria; Squamata; Anolidae. The record is from RNAcentral.
AUGCAGAGAUGCUGGCCACAUGACCUUGGAGCACCAUUACCUUCCCGAACUGCUAGGUUGGCAGAAGCUGGAGCUAACAGCGGCCGCUCACUCCGCUCCCGGUGUUUGAAUCUGGGACCUUUGGGUCUGCAAGUUCAGCAGCUCAGUGCUUUAACACACUUCGCCACCGGGGUGCCUUUUAAACAGUCAUACAUACCAAAUCUACCAGUUGCAGAAGGCUAAAUGGAUGUCAUUAUAACAGUACCAAAAAAAAUUAUAGUUGCAUGGGCAUGUGCAAUUACUGCCUCCCGCCAGCACACACACAGUUCUGGGAUGACAAUAGGCCACAACUUGUUUUUUGUUUCAGAAAAGAAUCAGGGUUGGUAGCUGUGCAUGGGUCCUGGAUCUGGGAUUGGGCAGCCCGCUGUUAGCCCAUACCACUUAACCAUGCCAGGGGGUGCUGCUGUUACCGACCAGCACAAUACUGAGACCCCGUAACAGUCGCACCCCUGGAAAACCACUGAAUCAGAAAGUGAAAAUUAUGAUUGAAGAAGCAAAUGAAGAAAAAGGAGAAAGAAAAUCUCAUCAAAGAAAGCUAGUUCUCUCCGAUCGUGAAGUGAAAGUCAAACCACCAAUUUUUUAAUCACUUUCCUAUUCCUUCUUUCACAACCCCUUCAUCCUUACUUACCUAACCCUAUCCUCUACCUCUCCCCACCCCUUCUCUAUUCCCAGGUCCAUCGCAAUUCCCCACCCUACCUAUCUGUCCCCCUUUAACCCAAUCCUUUCCCCGUCAUUUAGCCCGGCCCCCUCUAUACUUCUUUCUUUUAUAUAUGUAAUAAAGUAAUAAACAAUAUUAUUUUAAAAAAGAAAACCACUGGACCCUCCCCCCUCCAAUGAGGGUUAAGCAAGUCAGAUCCAGAGCCCAUGCUGCAUGUCACAAAAGGGAGGGAGUGGGAGCUUAACAGGUCAUAAAAAUUAUAGGAAUCAGACCAAAGCUUGUAUUGUAGAACAUGGCCAAAUAUGCUAACGUUGCAUGAAAUCAUAUCUGGAUGGGCACAACAAUGUCACUUCUGUGGAAUUUCUUUGGCGUUCUGCAUCCCAGCCUUCUGAAAUUGCAUAUUUGGUGAACUUGUACAGGUGCCUUGUUGCAUCACUCCCAUCUUUUCCAGAACACACACACAAACUUCCCUGUAUAAUUUAAAGAUCAUUUAUAAAUAGUUGAGGAACAGACAAGAAGAAAAAAGAAAGAAAAUGUGACAGGAAUAAGGUCAGGAUACUGAAUGCAACUUUUCUCACUGUCAGUGCACAUGUUGUGAACACAGACAACAAGAGCUUCUUCCAUUAUUAGAAAAAUACAAUGGAAGAAUAUGACCUAUUGAAAAAGAAGAGAUGUGACAAAAAAUGAGGAGAAAUAGCACUAUAUGUCAAAUACAUAUUCACUUGUACAUAAAGUCAUGAGAGUGAUCACUGUGGACCAGUUGAAAGAAUUUGGAUAAAAUACAUAGUGAAAUAAAUAAAUGCAGCAUUCUGGUAGGAGUUUACUACAAGACACCAAACCAUGAAGAUAUAGUAGAUUCACUUUUCAUAAAGAAAUUUCAAAAAUCUCAGAUACAAGCUGUUUGGGACCUCAAUUACCCUGAUGUCUUCUGAGGAAGUAACUCUGCCCUCCAACAAAUGCCUGAUGAGCCUUGCAGGCAAUUUUCUAUUUCAAAAGGUAAAGGAGGAAACAAAAUAUCAGCAAUUCUGGACUUGAUCCUAAUCAGUAAGAAGGUUAUGGGAAUCACGGCAACUUUAGGGGGAGUGAACAUGUAAUAAUAGAAUUUGCAGUUGUGGAAGAGGAUGAAGAAGAGUAAAAUCAACCCAGACUUUGGAUUUCAGGAAAACUGAUUUUAACAUGCCAAUGUGAUGUCUCUACUCUUCACUAUUUUAUCAAGAUUGGUCAUUGCUCUCCUCCCAAGAAGUCAACAUCUUCUGAUUCCUGGCUGCAGUUUGCGUCUGCAGUAAUCUUUGCACCUAGAAAUACAAAGUCUGUCACUGCCUCCACUUUUUCUCCCUCUAUUUGCCAGUUAUCAAUCAGCCUGGUUGCCAUAAUCUUGGGUUUUUUAAAUGUUUAACUGCCACCCAUCUUUUGCAUUUUCUUCUUUCACCUUGGUUAUAAGGCUCCUCAGCUCCUCCUCGCUUUCAGCCAUCAAAGUGGUAUCAUCUGCAUAUGUAAGGUUGUUAAUGUUUCUUCCAGCAAUUUUAACUCUAGCCUUGGAUUCAUCAAGCCCCACAUGUCGCAUGAUGUGUUCUGCAUACAAGUUGAAUAGGUAGGGUGAAAGUAUGCAGUCCUGCCGUACUCCUUUCCCAAUCUUGAACCAGUCUGUUGUUCUGUGGUCUGUUCUUACUGUUGCUACUUGGUCGUUCUACAGAUUCCUCGGGAGACAGACAAAGUGACUUGGUAUUCCCAUCCCACCAAGAACUUGCCACAAUUUAUUAUGAUUCAGACAGUCAAAGGCUUUAGACUAGUCAGUAAAACAGAAAUAGAAUCUGACCUCUCUGCCAUGACCUUCCCAUCAUGGGUGUCCCUUCACGGUUUCGCUCAUGGCAUCAUUAAGGCGCCCAAGCUCCAGCACCACAACAAGGUGAUGAUCCUUUGUAGGAGAGUUCUUGAAUAAGGAGUUGCAAAAAAAGCACAAUCACAAGCACUCCCAUAAAAAAGAAAAAUGGGGAUAUCUGAAAAAGCUAAUGUGCCUCUACUGCAAGCUCAAAGAGGAAGUGGGGGAAAAAAGGAAUAUAGAGAGAAUGGAAAGAAGGAGAAAUCACCAAAGAAGAAUUCAGAUAUGCAGGCCAAGCUUCCAGGAAUAGCAUAAGGAAAGCUAUCCUAACAUUUCAAGCAUUUCUCACAGGGUAAGCUAGACACUGAAAAAUUGGAAAUUGUUCCACCCUAAACAUUGUUAGUAAACUUGAUGGUGAUGUACAAGUUGUAACUCUGACACAUGGGUUUGUAAGCAUGUUCAUUAGAGAACCCUAACGUAUUCUCAUCUCCCUUGUAUUGCUGAUGGUAAGUGCAUCCAUCAAGAGAUGGAUGGCAUGGAACACUGCUUGAAUCUGUACAAUAGUUUCUGCAUUACAAACCCACUUCAGCUCAUGUCUCAGGGAUGAAAGAGUGCAAAUUAGUUUGACUAAAGAUCCCAUGAUAUUUAUUUUUAAUCACUGCUCUCCGAAGGCUGGCACAUCACUCAUGGCAAGCAUUCUUCCUGAACACUCGUCUUCCCCCAAAUUGUAGACUAGACAGAGAUCCUUUCCUCUUCAAAUUCAUGUCAGGCAACUAAGCAGCUUCUGAUGACUUAGG